GACAGUAUUGCAGAAAUUGUACAGCUGCACAAGAGGACGUUAAUGCACCUAAAUGAACAUCAGUAUACUUCCAUGUCACCUAUCAAUUCAUACUUGAUAUACACCACCAUGGGUUCAUAUCUGCAAUGUACAUACUAUUGGAAUUGAACAAUCUAUGAACUACGAACUGUACAACUGACUAAAAUAAAACGUACAGAAGCAACAGAUCGACUCUCAACAGAUAAAAAUCCAUAAAGUGUUUUAAUGGAAGCGCUUUUCAUCCUGUAACAAUCACAUGGACUUCUUCAGCUAAACAACACAAAUUAACUUCCCUUUUAAAUACCCCCUCCUAUAUGCAGUCAUGUGACCACAAGCAUUAUUCUUUAAAGAAAGAACAAAUAUUAAAACAGUUUUUUGUUGCAUGUGUGUAAAAGCAAUGAAUACCAAAUAUAUAUCCACAUAAAAAUACAAAAAAUCAUGAAUACCACUCUGACAUGAAUUUUGUUCACAUUUUAAGAUUUUUUUAACUUUAAUACACAACUUAUUGAACUCAUGUCAUUAAGACCUGGGGACAUGUAUGCAUUUAGUAGGACCUGCCACAAUAAUUCUAAUCAUUCUGACUUUACUGUUAUGGGUCCACCUCUUGGGUCUGUUUGUACCUGGUCUAUUACUUGAAGUUUAAAAGUGUGUGUUGGGUUUAUAUUGACGUGUUUUGCUAAUGCAUUUUCUGUUUUAUUUCUGCUAAUACUAUAACUAUGCUAACAGAUCCACUGUUUUAGUUUGCGCUCAGUUUUUCCAAUAUAGAAUGAAGGGCACAACUGACACUUUGCAAGAUACACAUGUUAGAAUUACAGUUGUGUUUCUUAUUGAUAUUAUAUGUCUUCCCAGCAAUACUAUAUGUACUCCUUUCUUCAAUAUCCUUGCAAUAUGGACAAUUCCCACAAGUUUAUUGUGCUGUGUACAUUUUAUUCACAAAGUGCAGUCAUUUCAAAGUGUUUC
Molecule: long non-coding RNA, 978 nt
Organism: Protopterus annectens (West African lungfish)
Lineage: Eukaryota; Metazoa; Chordata; Ceratodontiformes; Protopteridae
Exons: 3
Source: RefSeq, a predicted model, not a curated record